GGGGUUGUGGCUCAGUGGUGGAGUGCUUGCCUAGCAUGCGCAAGGCGCUGGGUUCAAUCCUCAGCACCCCA
RNAcentral lists this transfer RNA (71 nucleotides) under Marmota monax (woodchuck). RNAcentral describes it as "tRNA.Ala". It matches the Rfam family "tRNA". From Rfam's summary of the family: Transfer RNA (tRNA) molecules are approximately 80 nucleotides in length. Their secondary structure includes four short double-helical elements and three loops (D, anti-codon, and T loops). Lineage: Eukaryota; Metazoa; Chordata; Mammalia; Rodentia; Sciuridae. The record is from RNAcentral.